This 315-nucleotide unclassified non-coding RNA is filed under the name plant metagenome. RNAcentral's name for it is "partial contains 5.8S ribosomal RNA, internal transcribed spacer 2, and large subunit ribosomal RNA". The stretch from base 1 to 105 matches the Rfam family "5.8S ribosomal RNA", at positions 50 to 154 of the family's 154-position model. The record is from RNAcentral.
GAACUGCGAUAAGUAAUGUGAAUUGCAGAAUUCAGUGAAUCAUCGAGUCUUUGAACGCACAUUGCGCCCCCUGGCAUUCCGGGGGGCAUGCCUGUCCGAGCGUCAUUACUGCCCUUCAAGCCCGGCUUGUGUGUUGGGUCGUCGUCCCCUCCGGGGGACGGGCCCGAAAGGCAGCGGCGGCACCGCGUCCGGUCCUCGAGCGUAUGGGACUUUGUCACCCGCUCGAUAAGGACCGGCCGGGCGCCAGCCGGCGUCUCCAACCUUUUUUUCUCAGGUUGACCUCGGAUCAGGUAGGGAUACCCGCUGAACUUAAGC